This 760-nucleotide long non-coding RNA is filed under the name Equus caballus (horse). RNAcentral's name for it is "lncRNA (ENSECAG00000033243.2)". Lineage: Eukaryota; Metazoa; Chordata; Mammalia; Perissodactyla; Equidae. The record is from RNAcentral.
GGAAAGAUUCACCCUGAGCUAACAUCUGUUGCCAGUCUUCGUCUUUUCUUUUCCUUCCAAAAGCCCCAGUGCAUUGUGGUAUAUCCUGGUUAAUUUUCCAUGUAGGAGGUGGGAACGUCACUGAAACCUCUGAGCUGAUGGUUAAAAUUGGCUACUCUUGAUUCAAUGCUUAACAAGUUCAAAAAUAAACAACUGACCAAUGUGAGAGAGAGUUACCUUUGGGGCUUUGGAAUGGGGGAAUGGAUGCUCCUUAUGAGAAAAGAGUUAACAGGAAGGUACCAAAACACGAGGUACACAGUGCCAAAAUUACCACUGCAAAUGGAUGGAUCCUCUUUCGCUCUCCAACUUGCUUAUAAGCUCCUUGAAGCAUGGGCACCCAAGCUCGCCGAAACGUGGAUGUUCUCGGCUGACUGAUUUGAUCCACAUGGAUAAGUAGAUUAAAAAUUAGGGAGGAAGAAAUCCCCAGAGAAGCCCAUCCUCCACGUGGUGUUCCCACAGGAUGAACUGAAGAUAAGCACGGAUGCAUUGCCUUAUCUCUGCAUCAAGGCAGAAUGUGGUCUCUUGGCCUGUCUGCAUGCUUCAGAUGCUGGCUAAAUGCGUACAUCUGCCUUGGUGGCUUCCUUCAUGGGAAUGGAGGUGGGCAGAAGAAGGAAAUCUUCAGCCCGAUCCGCCAUGAACACAGAUACAGCUAUCUAAAGAAGUGCACAAAUGAGUGGAGAAGGCAUCCUAUAGCCUUUGAAAGCACGAAGUAUGAUUCCAC